GGGAUGUAGUUCAGCGGCAGAGCGUUUACAUAGCAUGCAUAAGGCCGUGGGUUCAAUUCCCAAUAUCACCA
RNAcentral lists this transfer RNA (71 nucleotides) under Marmota monax (woodchuck). RNAcentral describes it as "tRNA.Ala". Lineage: Eukaryota; Metazoa; Chordata; Mammalia; Rodentia; Sciuridae. The record is from RNAcentral.